CCCCAGUAACGGCGAGUGAAGCGGCAACAGCUCAAAUUUGAAAUCUGGCUCUCGGGCCCGAGUUGUAAUUUGUAGAGGAUGCUUUUGGUGAGGUGCCUUCCGAGUUCCCUGGAACGGGACGCCAUAGAGGGUGAGAGCCCCGUCUGGUUGGACACCGAUCCUCUGUAAAGCUCCUUCGACGAGUCGAGUAGUUUGGGAAUGCUGCUCUAAAUGGGAGGUAUAUGUCUUCUAAAGCUAAAUACCGGCCAGAGACCGAUAGCGCACAAGUAGAGUGAUCGAAAGAUGAAAAGAACUUUGAAAAGAGAGUUAAAAAGUACGUGAAAUUGUUGAAAGGGAAGCGCUUGUGACCAGACUUGGGCUUGGUUGAUCAUCCGGGGUUCUCCCCGGUGCACUCUUCCGGCUCAGGCCAGCAUCAGUUCGCCCUGGGGGAUAAAGGCUUCGGGAAUGUGGCUCUCUCCGGGGAGUGUUAUAGCCCGCUGCGUAAUACCCUGUGGCGGACUGAGGUUCGCGCAUUCGCAAGGAUGCUGGCGUAAUGGUCAUCAGUGACCCGUCUUGAAACACGGACCAAGGAGUCGUCUUCGUAUGCGAGUGUUCGGGUGUCAAACCCCUACGCGAAAUGAAAGUGAACGCAGGUGAGAGCUUCGGCGCAUCAUCGACCGAUCCUGAUGUUAUCGGAUGGAUUUGAGUAAGAGCAUACGGGGCCGGACCCGAAAGAA
Molecule: ribosomal RNA, 716 nt
Filed under: Fusarium solani
Lineage: Eukaryota; Fungi; Ascomycota; Sordariomycetes; Hypocreales; Nectriaceae
Description: LSU rRNA
Rfam family: Eukaryotic large subunit ribosomal RNA
Source: RNAcentral